AGCUCAUGCAAAGCUUAGAGCUUCUUAAGAGCAUUUCAGACACCAGUGAACACAGUUCAACAUGAUGGUCUAUAGGGCAGGACUGCUGCUGGUAAUUCUCUGCUGGGCAGGUGCUCAUGCUCAGACUCUGACAGAAUCUGAACCCGUGGUUAAAAGGCCUGGAGAAUCCCACACACUGACCUGUACAGCAACUGGAUUAACCAUCAGUAGCAACUACAUGGCCUGGAUCAGACAGGCUCCUGGAAAAGGCCUGGAGUGGAUCGCCUGGCACGACAGCUAUAGUGGUAGCAGCAGGUUCUACUCUCAGUCCGUCCAGGGACGCUUCACCAUCUCCAGAGACGACAGCAGGAAGCUGCUGAAACUGCAGAUGAACAGUCUGACAGCUGCAGAUUCUGCAGUUUAUUACUGUGCCAGAGACACAGUGACACAAGAGACACAGACGCUGUACAAAAACCUGCCCCAGUCAUUUUUACUGGACUCAGAAACCUGCACUGCCUCAUGUGCUGAUAUUUAA
Betta splendens (Siamese fighting fish) is the source of this 514-nucleotide non-coding RNA. NCBI's taxonomy places the organism in Eukaryota, Metazoa, Chordata, Actinopteri, Anabantiformes, Osphronemidae. The record is from the annotation of a RefSeq genome assembly.